CAGUAUCAAAUAAACCUGAGAGAACAACAACUGUAUGAGUGCUUAAAUUUCUAGGAAAAAGAUAAACAUAUCUACAGUUCUUAUCUCUGUUUUAUGUAGGCCUUUUUCACGUAAACCAGUAUUAUGAGGGAAGGUGUGUGAUACGGAACGCGUUUAUUCUGUGAAGUUGAGAUCUCAAGCGACCACAUUGGCCAAAACCAUGAUGGCAAGAAUGGCACGUACUUUUCAACUGUGCCUUAUGCUCGGACUCCUACUACUGAUAAUACCGAAUGUGACGUCAAACAGCCGGCCGAUCGACCGAAACUGCUGCAGGGUUAAGGAUUGCAGGUCACGGGGUCAAACCUGCGUACGUUUCGGUGAGACCAACUGCAGAUGCAGGGGGAAUAUUGUCGUCGGUAUGCAACAGCCGAGAAUCAGCUCGGGAAGAAAUACUGGAUAAAACGUUUCAUCAAGUUAUAAUUAAACAUAGGCGUCUGCAUUGGCUUUCCGUACACAAAUAUAUCGAAACACGAUGUUUUAGUGUCAUUGUGAAGAUUUAAAUAACGACAUGACAUGCUCUGAUUGAGUUUACAAUAAAUCAGCUUUACAUGUGUCCGAAGUGAUUUAAAGCACGUAUAUAAAUAUAAUACACUAAACAAUUUUGCGAACGAUACUUAUUUGGUUUCGUUGUAUCGCUGUUCUGAUGCGUUGAUAUUAAUUCAUAUAUACAUUUGUAAUGGUAUUCAAAAAAAUAGAUCACUGCGUUUCCUUUCUCCUGAAGAGUGCGUAAGUUUCAUUAAAUUUGUGAUAUUUGAUGAAUAUUUCACAAUCAUGUAUAAUGAUGUUAUUUAUAAUUAAAGUUAGUUAUAAAAGAUCUGCAAACAAAAUUAUAACUUUUCGAGACUAAAAAAUGAAAUGGACAUAUGUUGGUUGUGAUAGUUGAUCAAUUUAAUUCUUUGUUUAAUCAGAUAAAACUUAUACUUGCACGAUCAUGAUUGGAUUAAAAUCGAUAAUCAACAAAACAAAAUAAAGUGUAUGUUUAUUUGAAUUAUCCGCUGUUUGUUAGCAUAAUAUAGAUUCAACUUGAAUGAUGUGGUAUAUUAAGGUUUGUACGGACUCGCAGACGAUCUGUUUAAAUUUGGAUUUGAAAAACCUGAUGUAUGUGCUUCUACACAAAGUGUCGUCUAUAUGUUUUAAAUAGGAAAAUAAAAGAAUAUUGUCCCAUAAACUCGCGAACGAAGAAAUUGAAACAAAUAAAUUACUGUUUUGCUG
Long non-coding RNA from Dreissena polymorpha, 1251 nucleotides. RefSeq lists it as uncharacterized. The record is from RefSeq and is a predicted model, not a curated record. The transcript is spliced from 2 exons. Lineage: Eukaryota; Metazoa; Mollusca; Bivalvia; Myida; Dreissenidae.